CCGACCACACCAAUAACAAAAAGAAAUCAACCGAGAUUCCCCCAGUAGCGCGAGCGAACGGGGAGCAGCCCAGAGUCUGAAUCAGCUUGUGUGUUAGUGGAACGGUCUGGAAAGUCCGACGGUACAGGGUGAUAGUCCCGUACACCAAAAUGCACAGGCUGUGAACUCGAAGAGUAGGGCGGGACACGUGGUAUCCUGUCUGAAUAUGGGGGGACCAUCCUCCAAGGCUAAAUACUCCUGACUGACCGAUAGUGAACCAGUACCGUGAGGGAAAGGCGAAAAGAACCCCGGCGAGGGGAGUGAAAAAGAACCUGAAACCGUGUACGUACAAGCAGUGGGAGCACCUUCGGGUGUGACUGCGUACCUUUUGUAUAAUGGGUCAGCGACUUAUAUUCUGUAGCAAGGUUAACCGUAUAGGGGAGCCGCAGGGAAACCGAGUCUUAACUGGGCGUUAAGUUGCAGGGUAUAGACCCGAAACCCGGUGAUCUAGCCAUGGGCAGGUUGAAGGUUGGGUAACACUAACUGGAGGACCGAACCGACUAAUGUUGAAAAAUUAGCGGAUGACUUGUGGCUGGGGGUGAAAGGCCAAUCAAACCGGGAGAUAGCUGGUUCUCCCCGAAAGCUAUUUAGGUAGCGCCUCGUGAAUUCAUCUUCGGGGGUAGAGCACUGUUUCGGCUAGGGGGUCAUCCCGACUUACCAACCCGAUGCAAACUACGAAUACCGAAGAAUGUUAUCACGGGAGACACACGGCGGGUGCUAACGUCCGUCGUGAAGAGGGAAACAACCCAGACCGCCAGCUAAGGUCCCAAAGUCAUGGUUAAGUGGGAAACGAUGUGGGAAGGCACAGACAGCCAGGAUGUUGGCUUAGAAGCAGCCAUCAUUUAAAGAAAGCGUAAUAGCUCACUGGUCGAGUCGGCCUGCGCGGAAGAUGUAACGGGGCUAAACCAUGCACCGAAGCUGCGGCAGCGACACUAUGUGUUGUUGGGUAGGGGAGCGUUCUGUAAGCCUGCGAAGGUGUGCUGUGAGGCAUGCUGGAGGUAUCAGAAGUGCGAAUGCUGACAUAAGUAACGAUAAAGCGGGUGAAAAGCCCGCUCGCCGGAAGACCAAGGGUUCCUGUCCAACGUUAAUCGGGGCAGGGUGAGUCGACCCCUAAGGCGAGGCCGAAAGGCGUAGUCGAUGGGAAACAGGUUAAUAUUCCUGUACUUGGUGUUACUGCGAAGGGGGGACGGAGAAGGCUAUGUUAGCCGGGCGACGGUUGUCCCGGUUUAAGCAUGUAGGCUGGUUGUCCAGGCAAAUCCGGAUAAUCAAGGCUGAGGUGUGAUGACGAGGCACUACGGUGCUGAAGUAACAAAUGCCCUGCUUCCAGGAAAAGCCUCUAAGCAUCAGGUAACAUCAAAUCGUACCCCAAACCGACACAGGUGGUCAGGUAGAGAAUACCAAGGCGCUUGAGAGAACUCGGGUGAAGGAACUAGGCAAAAUGGUGCCGUAACUUCGGGAGAAGGCACGCUGGUGUGUAGGUGAAGUCCCUGCGGAUGGAGCUGAGACCAGUCGAAGAUACCAGCUGGCUGCAACUGUUUAUUAAAAACACAGCACUGUGCAAACACGAAAGUGGACGUAUACGGUGUGACGCCUGCCCGGUGCCGGAAGGUUAAUUGAUGGGGUUAUCCGUAAGGAGAAGCUCUUGAUCGAAGCCCCGGUAAACGGCGGCCGUAACUAUAACGGUCCUAAGGUAGCGAAAUUCCUUGUCGGGUAAGUUCCGACCUGCACGAAUGGCGUAAUGAUGGCCAGGCUGUCUCCACCCGAGACUCAGUGAAAUUGAACUCGCUGUGAAGAUGCAGUGUACCCGCGGCAAGACGGAAAGACCCCGUGAACCUUUACUAUAGCUUGACACUGAACAUUGAGCCUUGAUGUGUAGGAUAGGUGGGAGGCUUUGAAGCGUGGACGCCAGUCUGCGUGGAGCCAACCUUGAAAUACCACCCUUUAAUGUUUGAUGUUCUAACGUUGGCCCCUUACCGGGGUUGCGGACAGUGUCUGGUGGGUAGUUUGACUGGGGCGGUCUCCUCCCAAAGCGUAACGGAGGAGCACGAAGGUUAGCUAAUCCUGGUCGGACAUCAGGAGGUUAGUGCAAUGGCAUAAGCUAGCUUGACUGCGAGCGUGACGGCGCGAGCAGGUG
Molecule: ribosomal RNA, 2173 nt
Filed under: Klebsiella pneumoniae
Lineage: Bacteria; Pseudomonadati; Pseudomonadota; Gammaproteobacteria; Enterobacterales; Enterobacteriaceae
Description: bacterial LSU rRNA
Rfam family: Bacterial large subunit ribosomal RNA
Source: RNAcentral